UACGUAGGUGGCGAGCGUUGUCCGGAAUUACUGGGUGUAAAGCGCGCGUAGGCGGGAGGCCAAGUCUGCGGUGAAAUCGCUCGGCUCAACUGGGCGGGGUCCGUGGAAACUGGUCACCUGGAGGACGGUAGAGGCAAGUGGAAUUCCCGGUGUAGUGGUGAAAUGCGUAGAGAUCGGGAGGAACACCAGUGGCGAAGGCGGCUUGCUGGGCCGGCCCUGACGCUGAGGCGCGAAGGCGUGGGGAGCGAAC
Molecule: ribosomal RNA, 250 nt
Filed under: uncultured bacterium
Lineage: Bacteria
Description: partial 16S ribosomal RNA
Rfam family: Bacterial small subunit ribosomal RNA
Source: RNAcentral